UUUAUAUGGCAUUCAGCAUAUGUAUCAUUAUUGUGAAAGAAGCAUAUUCGCUAGUUCAGAGUGGGAACCGGUGACUUGUCCCAAGCCUUGAGUGGGGGCUUAGAGCUCAGAGUGGGGCAUCGGGGUUCGCAGAGAUUAGAACUCGAUUCAUAGGAAGAACCAAAUGUUGAGUCAGUAUCGCAUGCAUAUAAAGUUGAAUUGUGAGUCUGGUUCAGAGUGGGGAUUGUGACGAGCAUGAGUCGAGUCAUUGUUGCAUUAUAUUGCAUGAAUGUGAUUGGAUGAUUAUGAUGUGGGUGAGAUAUGAAUACAUGAUGUUGGUGUGCUUUGUGUUGUUGUGUUUGUUCUCCUCUAGAGUACAGAUAAUCAGGUACCUAAGUAGGAGCUUGAGGUUGAGGACGGGUUUGUGCCUCUUUAGUUGCUUUUCGUUCGGGUCUAUAGUUGGA
Molecule: long non-coding RNA, 443 nt
Filed under: Lathyrus oleraceus (garden pea)
Lineage: Eukaryota; Viridiplantae; Streptophyta; Magnoliopsida; Fabales; Fabaceae
Description: Pisum sativum (pea) long non-coding RNA (PSAT_LNC001986)
Source: RNAcentral